RNAcentral lists this unclassified non-coding RNA (253 nucleotides) under uncultured Elusimicrobia bacterium. RNAcentral describes it as "contains 16S-23S intergenic spacer region". It matches the Rfam family "Bacterial small subunit ribosomal RNA", at positions 524 to 776 of the family's 1533-position model. The record is from RNAcentral. Lineage: Bacteria; Pseudomonadati; Elusimicrobiota; Elusimicrobia.
UACGAAGGUGGCGAGCGUUACUCGGAAUGACUAGGCGUAAAGGGCAGGUAGGUGGUUUGGUAAGUCUGCUGUGAAAGCUCCUGGCUUAACUGGGAGAGGUCAGCAGAUACUGUCAGGCUUGAGUAUGGGAGAGGGUACUGGAAUUCCCGGUGUAGCGGUGAAAUGCGCGGAUAUCGGGAGGAACACCAAUGGCGAAAGCAGGUGCCUGGACCAUUACUGACACUAAGCUGCGAAAGCUAGGGGAGCAAACAGG